Long non-coding RNA from Physella acuta, 309 nucleotides. RefSeq lists it as uncharacterized. Lineage: Eukaryota; Metazoa; Mollusca; Gastropoda; Physidae. The record is from RefSeq and is a predicted model, not a curated record.
AGGGAUACUGUUUGCUGUUCUUGUUGCCGUACUAACCGAGAAAGGUUCUGGGAAACUGAGUGUGUCCACGAUGCUAGAUUCGGUUCCAUUUUGGACUUUCGGCUUUCUGUACAUAAUUCCUGGGAUUUUUGGCACCAUAGCAGCAUUAGUCCAAAACAAAUGUCUGUACGUGUUGGUCAUUGUGUCCAGUAUCCUGUGUUUAAUGGCCAUGAUUGGUGUUGUGUUGGUCAUUGCGUUUGGCAGUUAUGAUGUGUUUACGAGGAGGACAAUCUCGAUAGAGGAUUGCCAGACGAUAAACAGCACGUGCGU